RNAcentral lists this ribosomal RNA (468 nucleotides) under uncultured bacterium. RNAcentral's name for it is "partial 16S ribosomal RNA". It matches the Rfam family "Bacterial small subunit ribosomal RNA", at positions 28 to 507 of the family's 1533-position model. The record is from RNAcentral.
GACGAACGCUGGCGGCGUGCUUAACACAUGCAAGUCGAACGGAAAGGCCCUGCUUUUGUGGGGUGCUCGAGUGGCGAACGGGUGAGUAACACGUGAGUAACCUGCCCUUGACUUUGGGAUAACUUCAGGAAACAGGGGCUAAUACCGGAUAGGAGCUCCUGCUGCAUGGUGUGGGUUGGAAAGUUUCGGCGGUUGGGGAUGGACUCGCGGCUUAUCAGCUUGUUGGUGGGGUAGUGGCUUACCAAGGCUUUGACGGGUAGCCGGCCUGAGAGGGUGAACAGCCACAUUGGGACUGAGAUACGGCCCAGUCUCCAACGGGAGGCAGCAGUGGAGAAUAUUGCAGAAUGGGCGGAAGCCUGAUGCAGCAACGCCGCGUGCGGGAUGACGGCCUUCGGGUUGUAAACCGCUUUCGCCUGUAACGAAGCGUGAGUGACGGUAAUGAGUAAAGAAGCACCGGCUAACUACGUG